AUGCUGGCGGCAGGCCUAACACAUGCAAGUCGAGCGAACAACCUCAACAGGUUGUUAGCGGCGAACGGGUGAGUAACACGUGAGAAUCUGCCUUGUUCAAUGGGAUAGCUUAAGGAAACUUGAGGUAAUACCAUAUAAUUCCUGCAACAGGUAAAGAUUUUGUUCGGAACAAGAUGAGCUUGCGGUAGAUUAGCUAGUUGGUGGGGUAAAGGCCUACCAAGGCAAUGAUCUAUAGCUGAUCUGGGAGGAUGGACAGCCACAUUGGGACUGAGACAAGGCCCAAACUUCUAUGGAGGGCAGCAGUGGGGAAUAUUGGACAAUGGGCGAAAGCCUGAUCCAGCCAUGCCGCAUGAGUGAUGACAAUCUAUUAAAAUGGAUACAAAAUAUGUAUCUUGGAUUGUAAAACUCUAUUUGUUUAAGGAUAAUAAUGAUAGUAAAUAAACAAAAGCUCCGGCCAACUUCGUGCCAGCAGCCGCGGUAAUACGAGGGGAGCGAGUGUUGUUCGGUUUUAUUGGGCGUAAAGGGUAUGUAGGCGGUUUUGUAAGUCAACACUUAAAUCUUGAGACUUAAUCUCAUUACAGGUGUUGAUACUGCAUAACUACGAACUUAAUAAGGAUGAACACAAUUCCAAGUGUAGAGGUGAAAUUCGUUGAUAUUUGGAGGAGUACCAAAGGCGAAGGCAGUUCAUUGGGUUAAGUUGACGCUGAGGUACGAAAGCGUGGGGAGCAAACAGGAUUAGAUACCCUGGUAGUCCACGCCCUAAACGAUGAGUGCUAACAGUCUGGUAUAAAUAUACAUCCCGAAAAUAUGUCUUCGGAUAUAUCAGUAGGUUUAUAUCUUAUAUUUAAUUGUAUAGCUAACGCGUUAAGCACUCCGCCUGGGGACUACGACCGCAAGGUUAAAACUCAAAGGAAUUGACGGAGACCCGCACAAGCGGUGGAGCACGUGGUUUAAUUCGAAUCUACACGAAGAACCUUACCAGCUCUUGACAUUUUUGGCUAAACAUGUUAGAAAUAACAUGCCACUUACAACAGUAAGGAUGCCUUAAACAGGUGCUGCAUGGCUGUUGUCGGCUCGUGUCGUGAGAUGUAUGGUUAAGUCCUAAAACGAGCGUAACCCUUGUCCUUAGUUGCUUAAGAUCGGGGCAAAGCCCAAGAUUAGUUCUCUAAGGAUACUACCAAUGAUAAAUUGGAGGAAGAAAGGAUAACAACAAGUCAUCAUGGCCCUUAUGGGCUGGGCUACACACGUGCUACAAUGGUGGUUACAAAGAGUCGCAACGUUGUGAAGCAGAGCUAAUCUCAAAAGACCAUCUCAGUUCGGAUUGUACUCUGCAACUCGAGUACAUGAAGUAGGAAUCGCUAGUAAUCGUGGAUCAGCAUGCCACGGUGAAUACGUUCUCGGAUCUUGUACACACCGCCCGUCACACCAUGGGAAUUUAUCUCGAUCGAAGCAACCUCAUCUUGGUUGCGAGAUCCAAAUAAACGACCGA
Molecule: ribosomal RNA, 1489 nt
Filed under: Candidatus Hodgkinia cicadicola
Lineage: Bacteria; Pseudomonadati; Pseudomonadota; Alphaproteobacteria; Hyphomicrobiales
Description: bacterial SSU rRNA
Rfam family: Bacterial small subunit ribosomal RNA
Source: RNAcentral